GAGACAGGGAUGAGGCAGAGCAUGGGAUGAGGCCAUCAACAAAAUUUCCAAUUUCUGUCCUCCGCUAGGCCGCUACUGCAUUUCUGUUUGCUUGCUCACAAAACGGAGGGAUUUGUGAGAGUUAUCAGGCAGAAAGAACAAAGAAGGUGCCUCCCUGGUGAAGUGGUGAUGGCCUGACCUGAGACGGCUGAGAGCUCAGCUGGUGUCCUGUUGUUGCUUCCUCCCCUGCACUGCCUCUUCCCUGGCUC
RNAcentral lists this microRNA precursor (248 nucleotides) under Saccharum sp. RNAcentral describes it as "miR408a stem-loop (ssp-MIR408a)". Its record names the gene ssp-MIR408a. It matches the Rfam family "MIR408 microRNA precursor family", at positions 17 to 119 of the family's 126-position model. Lineage: Eukaryota; Viridiplantae; Streptophyta; Magnoliopsida; Poales; Poaceae. The record is from miRBase by way of RNAcentral.